AUAGGGGAGCCGAAGGGAAACCGAGUCUUAACUGGGCGUUAAGUUGCAGGGUAUAGACCCGAAACCCGGUGAUCUAGCCAUGGGCAGGUUGAAGGUUGGGUAACACUAACUGGAGGACCGAACCGACUAAUGUUGAAAAAUUAGCGGAUGACCUGUGGCUGGGGGUGAAAGGCCAAUCAAACCGGGAGAUAGCUGGUUCUCCCCGAAAGCUAUUUAGGUAGCGCCUCGUGAACUCAUCUUCGGGGGUAGAGCACUGUUUCGGCUAGGGGGCCAUCCCGGCUUACCAACCCGAUGCAAACUACGAAUACCGAAGAAUGUUAUCACGGGAGACACACGGCGGGUGCUAACGUCCGUCGUGAAGAGGGAAACAACCCAGACCGCCAGCUAAGGUCCCAAAGUCAUGGUUAAGUGGGAAACGAUGUGGGAAGGCACAGACAGCCAGGAUGUUGGCUUAGAAGCAGCCAUCAUUUAAAGAAAGCGUAAUAGCUCACUGGUCGAGUCGGCCUGCGCGGAAGAUGUAACGGGGCUAAACCAUGCACCGAAGCUGCGGCAGCGACGCUUAUGCGUUGUUGGGUAGGGGAGCGUUCUGUAAGCCGUUGAAGGUGGCCUGUGAGGGUUGCUGGAGGUAUCAGAAGUGCGAAUGCUGACAUAAGUAACGAUAAAGCGGGUGAAAAGCCCGCUCGCCGGAAGACCAAGGGUUCCUGUCCAACGUUAAUCGGGGCAGGGUGAGUCGACCCCUAAGGCGAGGCCGAAAGGCGUAGUCGAUGGGAAACAGGUUAAUAUUCCUGUACUUGGUGUUACUGCGAAGGGGGGACGGAGAAGGCUAUGUUAGCCGGGCGACGGUUGUCCCGGUUUAAGCAUGUAGGCGGAGGUUCCAGGUAAAUCCGGUACCUUUUAACGCUGAGGUGUGAUGACGAGGCACUACGGUGCUGAAGUAACAAAUGCCCUGCUUCCAGGAAAAGCCUCUAAGCAUCAGGUAACACGAAAUCGUACCCCAAACCGACACAGGUGGUCAGGUAGAGAAUACCAAGGCGCUUGAGAGAACUCGGGUGAAGGAACUAGGCAAAAUGGUGCCGUAACUUCGGGAGAAGGCACGCUGAUAUGUAGGUGAAGCCCCUGCGGGUGGAGCUGAAAUCAGUCGAAGAUACCAGCUGGCUGCAACUGUUUAUUAAAAACACAGCACUGUGCAAACACGAAAGUGGACGUAUACGGUGUGACGCCUGCCCGGUGCCGGAAGGUUAAUUGAUGGGGUUAGCGGCAACGCGAAGCUCUUGAUCGAAGCCCCGGUAAACGGCGGCCGUAACUAUAACGGUCCUAAGGUAGCGAAAUUCCUUGUCGGGUAAGUUCCGACCUGCACGAAUGGCGUAAUGAUGGCCAGGCUGUCUCCACCCGAGACUCAGUGAAAUUGAACUCGCUGUGAAGAUGCAGUGUACCCGCGGCAAGACGGAAAGACCCCGUGAACCUUUACUAUAGCUUGACACUGAACACUGGUCCUUGAUGUGUAGGAUAGGUGGGAGGCUUUGAAGCGUGGACGCCAGUCUGCGUGGAGCCGACCUUGAAAUACCACCCUUUAAUGGCUGGUGUUCUAACGUAGACCCGUAAUCCGGGUUGCGGACAGUGUCUGGUGGGUAGUUUGACUGGGGCGGUCUCCUCCCAAAGAGUAACGGAGGAGCACGAAGGUUAGCUAAUCCUGGUCGGACAUCAGGAGGUUAGUGCAAUGGCAUAAGCUAGCUUGACUGCGAGAGUGACGGCUCGAGCAGGUGCGAAAGCAGGUCAUAGUGAUCCGGUGGUUCUGAAUGGAAGGGCCAUCGCUCAACGGAUAAAAGGUACUCCGGGGAUAACAGGCUGAUACCGCCCAAGAGUUCAUAUCGACGGCGGUGUUUGGCACCUCGAUGUCGGCUCAUCACAUCCUGGGGCUGAAGUAGGUCCCAAGGGUAUGGCUGUUCGCCAUUUAAAGUGGUACGCGAGCUGGGUUUAGAACGUCGUGAGACAGUUCGGUCCCUAUCUGCCGUGGGCGCUGGAGAAUUGAGGGGGGCUGCUCCUAGUACGAGAGGACCGGAGUGGACGCAUCACUGGUGUUCGGGUUGUCAUGCCAAUGGCACUGCCCGGUAGCUAAAUGCGGAAGAGAUAAGUGCUGAAAGCAUCUAAGCACGAAACUUGCCCCGAGAUGAGUUCUCCCUGAGACUAUAAGUCUCCUGAAGGAACGUUGAAGACGACGACGUUGAUAGGUCGGGUGUGUAAGCGCAGCGAUGCGUUGAGCUAACCGAUACUAAUGAACCGUGAGGCUUAACCUUACAACGCCGAAG
Molecule: ribosomal RNA, 2306 nt
Filed under: Enterobacter kobei
Lineage: Bacteria; Pseudomonadati; Pseudomonadota; Gammaproteobacteria; Enterobacterales; Enterobacteriaceae
Description: bacterial LSU rRNA
Rfam family: Bacterial large subunit ribosomal RNA
Source: RNAcentral